GAUGAAGAACGUAGCGAAAUGCGAUAAGUAAUGUGAAUUGCAGAAUUCAGUGAAUCAUCGAAUCUUUGAACGCACAUUGCGCCCGUCAGUAUUCUGGCGGGCAUGCCUGUUCGAGCGUCAUUACGCCCCUCAAGUCCCCUGUGGACUUGGUGUUGGAUCGGCGAGGCUGGUUUUCCAGCACAGCCGUCCCUUAAAUUAAUUGGCGGUCUCGCCGUGGCCCUCCUCUGCGCAGUAGUAAAACACUCGCAACAGGAGCCCGGCGCGGUCCACUGCCGUAAAACCCCCCAACUUUUUAUAGUUGACCUCGAAUCAGGUAGGACUACCCGCUGAACUUAAGCAUAUCAAUAAGCGGAGGA
RNAcentral lists this unclassified non-coding RNA (356 nucleotides) under soil metagenome. RNAcentral describes it as "partial contains 5.8S ribosomal RNA, internal transcribed spacer 2, and large subunit ribosomal RNA". The stretch from base 1 to 120 matches the Rfam family "5.8S ribosomal RNA", at positions 35 to 154 of the family's 154-position model. The record is from RNAcentral.